GAUGAACGCUAGCGGCAGGCUUAAUACAUGCAAGUCGUGGGGCAGCAGGUUUGUAGCAAUACAGAUGCUGGCGACCGGCAAACGGGUGCGGAACACGUACAGAACCUUCCUUUGAGCGGGGAAUAGCCCAGAGAAAUUUGGAUUAAUACCCCAUAGUAUAAUGAAGUGGCAUCACUUUAUUAUUAAAGAUUUAUCACUCGAAGAUGGCUGUGCGGCUGAUUAGGUAGUUGGCGGGGUAAAGGCCCACCAAGCCUGCGAUCAGUAACUGGUGUGAGAGCACGACCAGUCACACGGGCACUGAGACACGGGCCCGACUCCUACGGGAGGCAGCAGUAAGGAAUAUUGGUCAAUGGAGGCAACUCUGAACCAGCCAUGCCGCGUGGAGGAUGAAGGUCCUCUGGAUUGUAAACCUCUUUUAUAUGGGACGAAAAAGGCUUUUCUAAGUCGUCUGACGGUACCAUAUGAAUAAGCACCGGCUAACUCCGUGCCAGCAGCCGCGGUAA
This 503-nucleotide ribosomal RNA is filed under the name uncultured bacterium. Its description in RNAcentral is "bacterial SSU rRNA". It matches the Rfam family "Bacterial small subunit ribosomal RNA", at positions 28 to 523 of the family's 1533-position model. The record is from RNAcentral.